ACCUUCGGGUCACAUGAGUGAGUGGCGAACGGGUGAGCCACACGUGAGGAACCUGCCCCGAAGACUGGAAUAACCCGGGGAAACCCGGGCUAAUACCGGAUGCCCCCAGAUGGCCGCAUGGCCGACUGAGGAAAUGCUCCGGCGCUUCGGGAGGGUCUCGCGGCCUAUCAGCUUGUUGGUGAGGUAACGGCUCACCAAGGCAACGACGGGUAGCUGGUCUGAGAGGACGAUCACCCACUCUGGGACUGAUAUACCGCCCAGACUCCUACGGGAGGCAGCAGUAGGGAAUCUUGCGCAAUGGGCGAAGGCCUGACGCACCCACCCCGCGUGAGUGAUGAAGGCCUUCGGGUCGUAAAGCUCUUUCAGCGGGGAAAAAAAUGACGGUACCUGCAAAAGAAGCUCCGGCCAACUACGUGCCAGCAGCCGCGGUAACACGUAGGGAGCAAGCGUUGUCCGGAUUUAUUGGGCGUAAAGGGCUCGUAGGCUGUUCAGUAAGUCAGGUGUGAAAACUCGAGGCUCAACCUCGAGACGCCACUUGAUA
Molecule: ribosomal RNA, 541 nt
Filed under: uncultured Acidimicrobiia bacterium
Lineage: Bacteria; Bacillati; Actinomycetota; Acidimicrobiia
Description: bacterial SSU rRNA
Rfam family: Bacterial small subunit ribosomal RNA
Source: RNAcentral